Molecule: ribosomal RNA, 452 nt
Filed under: Anthocharis cardamines (orange tip)
Lineage: Eukaryota; Metazoa; Arthropoda; Insecta; Lepidoptera; Pieridae
Description: partial 28S ribosomal RNA
Source: RNAcentral
AAACCUGCGAAACUCGAAUGAACGAACGGAGAGAUUCAUCGUCAUUCCGCGGCGUACUAGUCCGCGCCUCGAUGUUCGCGCCUCGGUGCGAACACGGGUCGGACGUGUCGACGUUCGCGGACGGCGCGCACUUCUCUCUUAGUAACACUGACAUCGCGACCCGUUCGACGUGAGAGUACAAUUUCGGUCUAAGCGUGAUUCGGGAGCCGCGCGGCGACGUCUAAACCGCGUCCGCCGCUCGACCGUGAUCAUCGCCGACCGGCGUCGGACGGUAGUCUGUAUGAAUCGCGCACGCGUUUUAACGCGUCAGGCCCGACGCAAGCGUUUCGUGUCGUCGCUCGUUUCCUGCCUAUGUGCGGACGCGGGCGCGGCGCCGCUGUCGUCGCAGCCGUGCUGUCUCUGACCGUGCGCGUAUCCGUCUGCGAUGUUUCAGUUUCGGGCACUCGCAGGAC